CCUACGGGGGGCAGCAGUGGGGAAUAUUGCACAAUGGGGGAAACCUUGAUGCAGCGACGCCGCGUGAGCGAUGAAGUAUUUCGGUAUGUAAAGCUCUAUCAGCAGGGAAGAAAAUGACGGUACCUGACUAAGAAGCCCCGGCUAACUACGUGCCAGCAGCCGCGGUAAUACGUAGGGGGCAAGCGUUAUCCGGAUUUACUGGGUGUAAAGAGGGCGUAGACGGCGGCGCAAGCCAGAUGUGAAAGCCCGGGGCUCAACCCCGGGACUGCAUUUGGAACUGUGCCGCUAGAGUGUCGGAGAGGCAG
This 305-nucleotide ribosomal RNA is filed under the name uncultured bacterium. Its description in RNAcentral is "bacterial SSU rRNA". It matches the Rfam family "Bacterial small subunit ribosomal RNA", at positions 338 to 660 of the family's 1533-position model. The record is from RNAcentral.